RNAcentral lists this long non-coding RNA (1436 nucleotides) under Marmota monax (woodchuck). Lineage: Eukaryota; Metazoa; Chordata; Mammalia; Rodentia; Sciuridae. The record is from RNAcentral.
GUGGCAUUGCUGCAGCAACGACAGAUUUCCCUCGGUCCUUCCCCACUGCCAGGAUUCAACCAGGGAGUAUGUUACAAACUGAAACUGCUCCUACCUCCACCUCCCCCUGAGAGCUCACGGCUGGCUUUAUUUCCUACCAUAAUUGGAAGGUGAGGAUUCUAAAUAAAAGACAACUCAUCAUGCCCCCCACCCCCAAAAUACACUUUCUAAGUGUGAAUUCUCGUUGUCAAUCUGUUCCCUUUCCCUGGAACAGUGCCCGAUGUAAAAGACCAACAGCAUUUUGCACUUUCUGCCAUCUCUUGAGGGCAGUGGACACUUUAGGAUCCUUUGUCCAUGUCAGCACAACAGCCCUGUGAAUGCUGAGCAGCCGAAUUGUCAGCCCACGCUGCUUUGAAGAUGAGGGCAUCGGAAUCUCAUCUCGAGGCAGCUGAAUUGGCUGUGCUCCACCCUGAGACCUGGAGGCCCGGAUGAGCUCCUCGGGUGGAUUUAAAGAAAGAGACAUAUUAUGACUUAGCUGAAUCCAAGUGAGCAGAGCAGAAGGAAGCCGGGUGGGAUGGCUGCCUGUCUCAACACUCUCCUGGCCAUGAAAUCAGGCUGCACACAUAAGUUAGGAGUGUUUUGUGAGAACACCCCUUCAGUACUGAUCCAAGGUCUUUAAAAAACAAAAACAGAACUGCAAACCCAGGUACAGGGAAAGAACAUUCCUUCCCCUUCCUCCUCCUGUGUCACAAAACAAAUUUGAUAAUUCGGUAGGUUCGACUCACAAACCCUUUGGUUCUGUAUCAACACAGGAGUUCCAUUCUCUAAAUUCAGAAUUAGUCCUCAUGACCCUGCACAAAUAAGGACACUCACAUUUCAGCAACAGGCCUGGGUUUGUUGGAAUUUGGAUAUGGGUUCCCAUAAACUGAUGAUUCCCCGCUGCGGUUCGGUGGCUGAGCCUGACUCCUCGUUGCUCAGACUCUGAUGUGGCUUGGCUCCUGCAUUGUUCCAGGCUGUGCUGAGGAUCCAUUCGCAGCCUCCAGGCCCGGGUUGUAGAAACCGCAUUAGCCACCUUUCCUGGGUCUGGCUUUCUGCCUCUUUAGACAGGACUCUCUCUCUCUGAAGCUUAGCACCUGUCGCCCUCCGUUACUCCCUCCUCCCUUCUAGGAGGCCAGGAUAUCUGAUCUGGAAAGGGGCAAGGGAGUGCCAGCCCUUCUCCUUCCCCGAGAAUCUCUGCAUAUAGCCUUGGAUUCGUUUUAAUUAAUUAUCUGAUGUUUCACAAUUCCAGCAACAAUGUGGAGGACCCUAAGAGACUGUGCACACUAGGGGAAAUGAUUCCUACGCCAGAGUUUUCAUAUUGCAGGACUCCCAUUAAUGGCUUAUCUGGCUGAUCUUAAAAAGAACCAGAUAAGGAAAUGCAUACAACUUUAAAUAAAAGCAGUGGCCCAAGAGAGGCG